RNAcentral lists this long non-coding RNA (1974 nucleotides) under Anas platyrhynchos platyrhynchos (common mallard). RNAcentral describes it as "lncRNA (ENSAPLG00000029133.1)". Lineage: Eukaryota; Metazoa; Chordata; Aves; Anseriformes; Anatidae. The record is from RNAcentral.
GUGUGUGGAAUAAUGGUCCUGCAAUUAAAAAAGAAGGAAUGAUCAUUUGUCUCUUUUAAGAGGCUGUUUUAUGACAUUGAUGGCUUAAACUAGGUGACUAUGAAAGAAGUAUUAAAGGAAACUUGGAUAGAAAAAAUUGGCUGUAUUAUACUUGCUCUGAAAUAUCAUCACCAUCAGAAUGUGGGCAUGGUCUGGAAACCUACAAGUGUUUGGCUGCAAUUAUGGAUCAUGAAAAUAGAAAGAAACAACUUAUGUGAACAAAUGCAGCCUGGAGCAGAAUCUAAUCAAGGGACAACCAGACAUCGAUGAUAGGCAAGUGGAGAUUCUCUUACUGCAAGGUAAUCUUGGAUUGUUCCAAGCCCAACUUGACAGCAUCAAUUUAUUUCUGUGGGCUAAAGGUGCCAAUUAUGCAAAGGCAUGAUUCCAGAAUUCAAACAUCGUGGAAUGUAGGCAAUAAAUCAGAUUGCCGAGGUCCAGCCCUUACAUUUGAUCCAAGAAGAGAGGGUAAAAACAGCUAUUCAAUCAGGUAUCUUCUAAUAUUUCCUCAAGGUGAAUGUGGGGAAAAUAUCCCAUCCAUAUACAUAAUUGUCAGCAUUUUCUUUGAAUCUUCUAUGUGAAACAUGGUAUGUUUUUAAAGUGCUCAAUUCAGAUUUCCCAUGUUAUAUGUUGCACAGUGAUAAACAUAUGGGCAGACUUCAGAUUUACUUUAGUACCCCUAUGUAUAUGAAAAUAACAGCUAGAUAUUGCAGAUGACACUGCUCAUACAGAUAUCAGUAAUAACUUUACCGCCUUUCUUCUCUGUCUCUUUCUCCUGCCAAACAAAGCACCUAAUUUCAGAAUGCCUUCCUGGGAAUGAUUCCUCUUUGGACCAGAAGGAAGGAAGGAAGGAGGGAAGGAAGGAAGGAGGGAAGGAAGGAAGGAGGGAAGGGGGGAAAGAAGGAAGGAGGGAAGGAAGGAAGGAGGGAAGGGAUGGAGCAUCCAAAACCUCUCUGGGCAACCUGUUCCCGUGCUUCACCACCCUCUGAGUGAAAAACUUUCUCCUAAUUUCUAACCUAAAUCUCCCCUGUCUUAGUUUAAAAUCCCCCCCCCCCCCCUUAUCCUAUCACUAUCAACACAUGUCAACAGGUGUUCCCCCUCCUGUCUAUACACUCCCUAGUACUGGAGUACUAGGAAAGUACUGGAAGACUGCAAUGAGGUCUCCCCAGAGCCUUCUCUUCUUCAUGCAAAAUGAACCCAGUUCCCUCAACCUUUCUGCAUAGGAGAGGUGCUCCAGCCCUCUGAACAUCUUAGUGGCCCUUCUCUGGACAGACUGCUUGUGAUGGAGGCCCAAGGCCUGCAUGCAAUAUUCUAGGUAGGGUCUCACAAGAGCAGAGACCCUACCUACUAGCCACCACUUUUUUAUUUGCUCUUUCAUGGGGAAUUCUGUAGGUUUUCCCAUGCAGGAACUAAUAUAUAUCAUUAUUAUUGAUAUCAUGCAUUUGUUAUACCAUAUGUGGAAUGGCUAAACUCUCCCCUAAAGGAGAACUGCUAAUAAUACUUAUUUUUAUAGAAACUGUUAAAGACUGUCUCUCCAUAUCCAAAUCCAAACUAUAUAACAUGAUCUUUGCUUUAAGACAUAAGAAUCUUAAAUCUCUCUCUCUCUUUUUUUUUUUUUUUGUUGUUGUUUGUUUGAUUUUUGUUUUUGUUUUCAUUCUGUCUUUCAAGAAUAAGAAAGAGUCUGAUUUAAAAUAAGUAUAAUUAUAUACAGUUAUGCAGGCAAUAAUAGCAAAACUCUAAUGACAGUUACAGCAGCAGUAAUGUUUUGUUGUUCACUUGCCUUCAGAAUUAGAUGCCAAAAUAGUAGAUAUUUUUUCCAGUUGUAAAGCUGGAAUAUAAAAUAUAUUUUCAGUGACUCAAAAUGUUUUCUAAAAAGAAACAGUGAAUGAAGUUGCAUGAAUAAUUAAUAACAAAAAAAUAAACAUUUUUUUUUCCCCA